GUAAGGCACUCUGGAGAGACCUUUUCAUUAAGGCGCCGAAGGGGAAACGCGCUGUGCAGCGCCAACAGGCUGCUCAAAGCGCGCGACAACUCUCAGGCAAAAGGACAGAGGGCGACAA
RNAcentral lists this non-coding RNA (118 nucleotides) under Advenella mimigardefordensis. Its description in RNAcentral is "Glycine sequence". It matches the Rfam family "Glycine riboswitch aptamer". Rfam says of the family: This family represents the bacterial glycine riboswitch. Glycine riboswitches usually consist of two metabolite-binding aptamers domains with similar structures in tandem. RNAcentral also lists the same sequence under 1 other name. Lineage: Bacteria; Pseudomonadati; Pseudomonadota; Betaproteobacteria; Burkholderiales; Alcaligenaceae. The record is from RNAcentral.